CUGCCCAAUGACAACAUAGUUCAAUGGCCGCGGUACCCUGACCGUGCAAAGGUAGCAUAAUCACUUGCCCCUUAAUUAGGGGCUGGCAUGAAAGGACACACGAAAGCUUCCCUGUCUCACAAUAACAAAUAAAAAUUAAUCUUCAAGUGAAAAAGCUUGAAUAAAAUUGCAGGACAAGAAGACCCCGUUGAGCUUUAUUCUCUAUAGACUAAAUCAAAUAUUAAAUACAUCAUAAACCUAAAAAGAAUUUAGUUGGGGUGACUAAGGAACACCGAAAACUUCCUUUUAUUAAUUAGGAUCAUUCUCCAUACAAAUUGACCCAUUAUACAUGAUCAAAAAAAUAAGCUACCACAGGGAUAACAGGCUAAUCUUUCUCAAGAGCCCAAAUUGUCAGAAAGGAUUGGCACCUCGAUGUUGGCUUAGGGGCCCCUAAUGGUGCAGAAGCCAUAAAUGGUA
This 456-nucleotide ribosomal RNA is filed under the name Lamellibrachia anaximandri. RNAcentral describes it as "partial 16S ribosomal RNA". It matches the Rfam family "Bacterial large subunit ribosomal RNA", at positions 1859 to 2573 of the family's 2925-position model. Lineage: Eukaryota; Metazoa; Annelida; Polychaeta; Sabellida; Siboglinidae. The record is from RNAcentral.